AUACGGAGGAUCCGAGCGUUAUCCGGAUUUAUUGGGUUUAAAGGGUGCGCAGGCGGGAGAUUAAGUCGGCGGUGAAAUUUUGCAGCUCAACUGUAAAAGUGCCUUCGAAACUGGUUUCCUUGAGUAUAGAUGAAGUAGGCGGAAUUUGUGGUGUAGCGGUGAAAUGCAUAGAUAUCACGAGGAACUCCGAUUGCGCAGGCAGCUUACUAAACUACUACUGACGCUCAGGCACGAAGGCGUGGGGAUCAAACAGGAUUAGAUACCCUGGUAGUCCACGCAGUAAACGAUGAUUACUAGCUGUUUGCGAUACAAUGUAAGCGGCUGAGCGAAAGCGUUAAGUAAUCCACCUGGGGAGUACGUUCGCAAGAAUGAAACUCAAAUGAAUUGACGGGG
Molecule: ribosomal RNA, 393 nt
Filed under: uncultured bacterium
Lineage: Bacteria
Description: partial 16S ribosomal RNA
Rfam family: Bacterial small subunit ribosomal RNA
Source: RNAcentral